UGUAGGGAGGCAGAUUUUGUACAUUAAAAAUUGUACAAAAUCCAUCAAUCCCUUCCUUAAUUGGUGGAUCUGGUUCCUUUCACCAAUCAAAAUCCUUCAAUCCCUCUCCACCACUCACAUCUUUUCCCUCUCUUACCUCACCAAUCAGGAACUCCCUCUCAUUGUCAUUUUCAAAAAGCAACUCUUUCUCUCUUCUCUCUCUCCCCGAAGACUCCCUCUCACACUCACUCUGCAAUUCCCUCAAAUAGACACCAAAACACACAAACAUGGCUUGAAAACCACACCAUCAAACUCGUCUCACCACCAUGAACACAACCGUGCCCUUGGAUCGUGGUUUGACCGAGUUUUGGACAUCGAACUCGAAAGGUCCGACUUGGCUUAGUUUCUCCCCAAUGAGUUGUGAACGAGUUAUGAGUUUUUAGGAAGUCUAAAGGCCUCCACUCAAUUCCCCAAGGUCUUCAGUGAAGGUUUGUUGGAAGCUUUGACGUGAAACAACCUGGUUUCAAGAAACUGAGUUUUUGGCCUAACCUUUCGAGCCAAUUUCAAGCCUUUUCCCGUCCAUUUUUGGACUUCCAAAAGAUUACGGCGAUGGACUGCGGCGACCAGCGAGGACCACCGGAGAAGAUGACGGAAUAUUCUGUCAAAGUUGAUGGAAUAUUCUAACGGCGUCAGGUAAUGCCGUUAAACUCUGUUAGUUAUUUAACUGAAUAUUCCUGACGGAUGUCAGGGCCUUGCCUGCGUGUGGUGGUGCGUAUAGCCGUACCUUAGCCGACGCAUCCGGCAUCUGAUUGACCUUCUGUCAUUUAUUGUAAGUUUUUGAUGUCGAGUAGAUCGAUUUCGUAUAUUCAAACCCUAUGUUUGAGCAGUCUACGGAGGUUUUAUUUAAGUUUUCGUAUAUGUGUUAUUAAACUAAUUAAAUUAGUAAUUCCACAUAUAAGGGAAAUGUAUCCCGAGGACAUGCGGGAUCAGGCAAGGCUCGGAGGUUAUGAUUCGACAACAUAUUUGUAAGUGGGCAGUUUGUUUUUAUA
This is a long non-coding RNA of Pyrus x bretschneideri (Chinese white pear), 1028 nucleotides long. RefSeq lists it as uncharacterized. The record is from RefSeq and is a predicted model, not a curated record. NCBI's taxonomy places the organism in Eukaryota, Viridiplantae, Streptophyta, Magnoliopsida, Rosales, Rosaceae. The transcript is spliced from 2 exons.